This 217-nucleotide long non-coding RNA is filed under the name Gossypium barbadense (sea-island cotton). RNAcentral's name for it is "long non-coding RNA (GBAR_LNC004047)". Lineage: Eukaryota; Viridiplantae; Streptophyta; Magnoliopsida; Malvales; Malvaceae. The record is from RNAcentral.
CAAAAUUCACGGGCACCAGAAAAGCGAGUUAUAGGACCUUCGUCUUAGUGAAUCGAGUUCGUAAAUAUUUAUUAGGAAUAUUUGUGAGGCUAUUUGUGUGUUUAAUUAGGCUUUAAUUAAGUGAAUUUAGCUUAAUUAAGAGAAAUUAGGAAAAAGGGCUAAAUUGAAUAAGGGAUAAAAGUAGAAUUAUAGAUUAAUAAAAAGAAAGGGGGACCAA